GCGCACUUAGCUCAGUGGUUAGAGCAUCACUGUUGAAAGUUGAGGUUGUGGGUUCAAUUCCCACAGUGCACA
This 72-nucleotide transfer RNA is filed under the name Phakopsora pachyrhizi. Its description in RNAcentral is "tRNA-Ser". It matches the Rfam family "tRNA". From Rfam's summary of the family: Transfer RNA (tRNA) molecules are approximately 80 nucleotides in length. Their secondary structure includes four short double-helical elements and three loops (D, anti-codon, and T loops). Further hydrogen bonds mediate the characteristic L-shaped molecular structure. tRNAs have two regions of fundamental functional importance: the anti-codon, which is responsible for specific mRNA codon recognition, and the 3' end, to which the tRNAs corresponding amino acid is attached (by aminoacyl-tRNA synthetases). tRNAs cope with the degeneracy of the genetic code in two manners: having more than one tRNA (with a specific anti-codon) for a particular amino acid; and 'wobble' base-pairing, i.e. permitting non-standard base-pairing at the 3rd anti-codon position. Lineage: Eukaryota; Fungi; Basidiomycota; Pucciniomycetes; Pucciniales; Phakopsoraceae. The record is from RNAcentral.